RNAcentral lists this unclassified non-coding RNA (238 nucleotides) under Glomus sp. RNAcentral's name for it is "partial contains 5.8S ribosomal RNA and internal transcribed spacer 2". The stretch from base 1 to 71 matches the Rfam family "5.8S ribosomal RNA", at positions 84 to 154 of the family's 154-position model. The record is from RNAcentral. Lineage: Eukaryota; Fungi; Glomeromycota; Glomeromycetes; Glomerales; Glomeraceae.
GUGAAUCAUCAAAUUUUUGAACGCAAAUUGCACUCUCUGGUAUUCCGGAUAGUAUGCCUGUUUGAGGGUCAGUUUAAAUCAAAAUCGGUGUGGUUGCUGCCUUUCGUGGUGACGCACCGGAUUUGGGUCGUCUUGCCUUCGGUUAUGCGACCGUAAAUUUUUCAUGAUUUUUUUCGAACGUAUUUAAAUGAUUAUACGUACGUGUUCGAUAACGAAUACUUGGUGUGGUCAUCCUCCU